Molecule: ribosomal RNA, 1348 nt
Filed under: metagenome
Description: bacterial LSU rRNA
Rfam family: Bacterial large subunit ribosomal RNA
Source: RNAcentral
UGAGUGCGAGCUUCUACGGAAGCGAAGUUGGUGACGUCAAGCUUCCAAGAAAAGCCCUAUACCCGUUAAGGCAUGAUUACCUGUACCCGAAACCGACACAGGUGGGGUGGUAGAGAAUACCGAGGGGCGCGAGGUAACUCUCUCUAAGGAACUCGGCAAAAUGACCCCGUAACUUCGGGAGAAGGGGUGCCAGCGCGAGCUGGUCGCAGUGAAUAGGCCCAGGCGACUGUUUACCAAAAACACAGGUCUCCGCUAAGUCGCAAGACGAUGUAUGGGGGCUGACGCCUGCCCAGUGCCGGAAGGUUAAAGAAGUUGGUCAGCGCAAGCGAAGCUAACGACUGAAGCCCCGGUGAACGGCGGCCGUAACCAUAACGGUCCUAAGGUAGCGAAAUUCCUUGUCGGGUAAGUUCCGACCCGCACGAAAGGCGUAACGAUCUGGGCGCUGUCUCGGAGAGAGGCUCGGCGAAAUAGAAUUGUCUGUGAAGAUGCGGACUACGUGCACCCGGACAGAAAGACCCUAUGAAGCUUACUGUAGCUUGGUAUUGUGCUCGGGCUCGCAAUGCGCAGGAUAGGUGGGAGGCUUUGAUCCAUUGCUUGUGGGUGAUGGUGAGCCACUGGUGAGAUACCACUCUUUGCGAGCUAGGGUUCUAACGGUUACCCGUCAUCCGGGAACCGGACAGUAUCUGGUGGGCAGUUUGACUGGGGCGGUCGCCUCCUAAAAGGUAACGGAGGCGCGCAAAGGUUUGCUCAGGCUGGUUGGAAAUCAGCCGACGAGUGUAAAAGCAGAAGCAAGCUUGACUGUGAGACCUACAAGUCGAACAGGGAGGAAACUCGGCUUUAGUGAUCCGACGGUUCUGAGUGGAAGGGCCGUCGCUCAACGGAUAAAAGUUACUCUAGGAUAACAGGCUGAUCUCCCCCAAGAGUUCACAUCGACGGGGAGGUUUGGCACCUCGAUGUCGGCUCAUCGCAACCUGGGGCUGAAGUCGGUCCCAAGGGUUGGGCUGUUCGCCCAUUAAAGCGGUACGCGAGCUGGGUUCAGAACGUCGUGAGACAGUUCGGUCCAUAUCCGGUGCAUGCGCAGGAAUAUUGAGAGGAUUUCUCCCUAGUACGAGAGGACCGGGAGGAACGCACCUCUGGUGUACCAGUUAUCGUGCAACGGUAAACGCUGGGUAGCCAUGUGCGGAGUGGAUAACCGCUGAAAGCAUCUAAGUGGGAAGCCCACCUCAAGAUGAGUAUUCCCAUGGCUUAAGCCAGUAAGGUUACGGGAAGAACACCCGUUGAUAGGCUCUAUGUGGAAGCGCAGUAAUGCGUGAAGCAGAGGAGUACUAAUAGACCGAGGGCUUGACCU